This is a long non-coding RNA of Pocillopora damicornis (cauliflower coral), 2411 nucleotides long. RefSeq lists it as uncharacterized. The record is from RefSeq and is a predicted model, not a curated record. NCBI's taxonomy places the organism in Eukaryota, Metazoa, Cnidaria, Anthozoa, Scleractinia, Pocilloporidae.
CAAUAAUUUUGCGACAGGUUAUAAACAAACCAGAACUCGUUUAAGUUUGACAGCAACGCGCGCGAGCUAAGAGACUAUCGCCAGCAUCGACUUUACAUCGGCGUUUGUUUGCUGAAAGCCAUCUCUUCAAGUGAAACUCUCCUUUAAGGAAGACAAAGAAGCCAUUGAAAGCGGAUUGGUAGAGUAAGAGCUUGGCUUAAGGUUUUUCUUUGCGUUUAAUCGCUCCAUUUCCUAUCAUUGCGAUUCGCUUUGUGUUAUUUUUAUAACUGGAUCGUGCUGUUAGUCUUAUCUGGAGAGAGUAUUCUGCGGUCUGUUUCUUUUUGAGUCUGCACACAGUCAAGACAACCAUCUUAAUUAUCAACAGUCCUAAGUUUUCAGCUGAACGGAUGCUGGUGGAGGCCUGGGGCUGGGGCUAUUUGCCAUGCUUAUUGGCUGUGUUGGUGUUAUGUAGCGUGACCCUGACUUGGGACGCCCCUCUUUUUGCCCCAUAUCGUGAACAUUAUGUGUCUAAGGCGCAUUAUCAUGGAGUUGAUGUCUUCACAGAGGCCCUCCAUUCGCCUGUGGGGCCUGAACAGUUCAUGGAGCAUUUUUAUGUGUGCUACGGAAGAGAUGGACGGAAAACGUACUUUAAAAAACAGGACCAAAAUUAUUUCUCUAACCGAAGGUACUGGGUGAUUAGUUCUUCCGGUAAAUUUGUGGCUUCCAUGCGAACCUGUUGAUGUAGAGGACACAUACUGUAUGAUAGGAGUUACAUAACCUUCAAGAAAUCUCUUCGUAGACGUAUGAACAAAUGCUUAAGAUAACACCUAUCACAAAUACUAAAAAUAAUACUCGUUCGCAUCCAGAUCACCUUGCGAGUGAUGAAUUAGUUGUCAUUGCAGGUUCGGUAGGUUAGCGUCAAACUCGUUCAUGGGGCUAAUAUUUACCACAACAUUUUGUUGCACUUAACUGUAACGUGCAAAUAUAGCUUAAAAGCAAGGACCAAAAACACCACCUACAGAACGUUGUCACUCAAAUAGUGAGCAGCUACGCAAAUUUAUUAGAACACUUUAUUUAGGACAACAAAAUGGCUGCUGUGACGUCGCGUGAACACAAACGCCAACAGCUUAAAGAUGGACAUUCACACAGGAUUACACAAGAAUCUGAAGAAAGCAGACAUCUUCUGUGGAUAGUCUGGCUUAAGUUGCAGUAGGAAGAUGGGGUUACAAAUUAUUUUAUGAAGUUAUGAUCAAACAAAUCUGAUCUUAUAUCCGCGGCGAGUAUUGUUGUAGUAUGGGGUACAUAUGAAAAUGAUUCUGAUUGGUCUAAGUCUGCAAGAUAAUGAAUAAGACAUAACAAAAAAAAAGACAUUUAAAAAAAAGGUGAAUGUGUGUAAUAACUUUUCUCAGACUUGGUGAAGUACUAAAUACAAAAUAACGACAGUCUUUAACCAGCUAACAUUUACAUUUUUAUAAUCCUUCAAUGUAUAAGAACUAACAAAUUCAGAAUCUUUUAAACUAAACAUUUCCUCUCGUUGAUGUAAUGAGUGAAUGAUGGAAUCAACCUAGGGCCCAGGGCCUCUCUUUUUCUCUAUCUCUUACCCCAUCGCAUUGAAGGGGGCAAGGGGAGGGGGCUGGGGGGUUUUGCACUACUUAAAAUGAAAGUGAGCUGUAAUUUUACAAGAAGUGAUGCAAAGUUACUUUAGAGGCCUUCACAAAUGGAACACACAUAUGCCAAAAAACACCCUACACUAAAUAGUUGGAAUCUGGAAGAAACAGUAGUCAUCUUGGCAAGGGUAGUCCUGAAAAAGAGCAGUGUUUCAUCGUGACUGAGAUUUUAAAACUCAUUUCAAAGUCAUCCUCACAUUUAAGGGCUCUUAUGAAGACUUUCCAAUAAAGACUUUCCCUCAAUACAUUCCCCUCAGGUUGUAAAAAAUCUCAGUCACAGUUAAAGGCAAUGAUCCUUACAGAACAACAAACACCAAAACAAUCAGAAUACUCAUUCCUGAGGAAUAUAAUUAAUGCCACUAUCAAGAACGUAUUUUAUACUAAAGAUUAAUUGUGGCAAAGUCAUAUGAAGGCUACAUAUGUCUGGUGCACUGUACACUGGAGAUCAAUCAUGAAUGUGAUUUCUGUUCCAAGACCAGCCACAGAACCCAGCAUGAAGACUUUGCUAAACUUAGUGAUGGGAUUAAGUAAACACUUGGAAUGCACAGGACACUUAUACAGAAUGAACCUUACAAUGGUAUCAAGUUUAAUAAGGGCUUCUGAUUGCAGAUGAAGAAACAUUAUGGAAGAGAGAGAGUCAUUAAUUGUACACAACUACACUUUUGAAGUACCUGUACUCUUAACUGUCACUUAAUCCUCUAAUUCAUUAUUACUGUUCACAGCUCUCCUUCGAUUUACUUAUUUGAGUUGGUGUGGUAUACAAUU